This 428-nucleotide ribosomal RNA is filed under the name uncultured bacterium. Its description in RNAcentral is "bacterial SSU rRNA". It matches the Rfam family "Bacterial small subunit ribosomal RNA", at positions 355 to 775 of the family's 1533-position model. The record is from RNAcentral.
UGGGGAAUAUUGGACAAUGGGCGAAAGCCUGAUCCAGCCAUGCCGCGUGUGUGAAGAAGGUCUUCGGAUUGUAAAGCACUUUAAGUUGGGAGGAAGGGCUGUCGGCUAAUACCCUGCAGUUUUGACGUUACCAACAGAAUAAGCACCGGCUAACUUCGUGCCAGCAGCCGCGGUAAUACGGAGGGUGCAAGCGUUAAUCGGAAUUACUGGGCGUAAAGCGCGCGUAGGUGGUUCAGCAAGUUGGAUGUGAAAGCCCCGGGCUCAACCUGGGAACUGCAUCCAAAACUACUGAGCUAGAGUACGGUAGAGGGUGGUGGAAUUUCCUGUGUAGCGGUGAAAUGCGUAGAUAUAGGAAGGAACACCAGUGGCGAAGGCGACCACCUGGACUGAUACUGACACUGAGGUGCGAAAGCGUGGGGAGCAAACAG